Molecule: ribosomal RNA, 301 nt
Filed under: uncultured bacterium
Lineage: Bacteria
Description: partial 16S ribosomal RNA
Rfam family: Bacterial small subunit ribosomal RNA
Source: RNAcentral
CAGUCGCCGCGGGAAUACAGAGGGUGCGAGCGUUAAUCGGAUUUACUGGGCGUAAAGCGUGCGUAGGCGGCUAAUUGAGUCGGAUGUGAAAUCCCCGAGCUUAACUUGGGAAUUGCAUUCGAUACUGGUUAGCUAGAGUGUGGGAGAGGAUGGUAGAAUUCCAGGUGUAGCGGUGAAAUGCGUAGAGAUCUGGAGGAAUACCGAUGGCGAAGGCAGCCAUCUGGCCUAACACUGACGCUGAGGUACGAAAGCAUGGGGAGCAAACAGGAUUAGAGACCCCAGUAGUCCCUGUCUCUUAUAC